Molecule: ribosomal RNA, 1362 nt
Filed under: uncultured bacterium
Lineage: Bacteria
Description: 16S ribosomal RNA
Rfam family: Bacterial small subunit ribosomal RNA
Source: RNAcentral
AUCCUGGCUCAGGACGAACGCUGGCGGCGCGCCUAACACAUGCAAGUCGAACGAGCGAGAGAGAGCUUGCUUUCUCGAGCGAGUGGCGAACGGGUGAGUAACGCGUGAGGUACCUGCCUCAAAGAGGGGGACAACAGUUGGAAACGACUGCUAAUACCGCAUAAGCCCACGGCUCGGCAUCGAGCAGAGGGAAAAGGAGCAAUCCGCUUUGAGAUGGCCUCGCGUCCGAUUAGCUAGUUGGUGAGGUAAUGGCCCACCAAGGCGACGAUCGGUAGCCGGACUGAGAGGUUGAACGGCCACAUUGGGACUGAGACACGGCCCAGACUCCUACGGGAGGCAGCAGUGGGGAAUAUUGCACAAUGGGGGAAACCCUGAUGCAGCGACGCCGCGUGGAGGAAGAAGGUCUUCGGAUUGUAAACUCCUGUUGUUGGGGAAGAUAAUGACGGUACCCAACAAGGAAGCGACGGCUAACUACGUGCCAGCAGCCGCGGUAAAACGUAGGUCACAAGCGUUGUCCGGAAUUACUGGGUGUAAAGGGAGCGCAGGCGGGAAGACAAGUUGGAAGUGAAAUCUAUGGGCUCAACCCAUAAACUGCUUUCAAAACUGUUUUUCUUGAGUAGUGCAGAGGUAGGCGGAAUUCCCGGUGUAGCGGUGGAAUGCGUAGAUAUCGGGAGGAACACCAGUGGCGAAGGCGGCCUACUGGGCACCAACUGACGCUGAGGCUCGAAAGUGUGGGUAGCAAACAGGAUUAGAUACCCUGGUAGUCCACACCGUAAACGAUGAUUACUAGGUGUUGGAGGAUUGACCCCUUCAGUGCCGCAGUUAACACAAUAAGUAAUCCACCUGGGGAGUACGACCGCAAGGUUGAAACUCAAAGGAAUUGACGGGGGCCCGCACAAGCAGUGGAGUAUGUGGUUUAAUUCGACGCAACGCGAAGAACCUUACCAAGUCUUGACAUCCCUUGACAGGCAUAGAAAUAUGUUUUCUCUUCGGAGCAAGGAGACAGGUGGUGCAUGGUUGUCGUCAGCUCGUGUCGUGAGAUGUUGGGUUAAGUCCCGCAACGAGCGCAACCCUUAUGGUCAGUUACUACGCAAGAGGACUCUGGCCAGACUGCCGUUGACAAAACGGAGGAAGGUGGGGAUGACGUCAAAUCAUCAUGCCCUUUAUGACUUGGGCUACACACGUACUACAAUGGCGUUAAACAAAGAGAAGCAAGACCGCGAGGUGGAGCAAAACUCAGAAACAACGUCCCAGUUCGGACUGCAGGCUGCAACUCGCCUGCACGAAGUCGGAAUUGCUAGUAAUCGUGGAUCAGCAUGCCACGGUGAAUACGAACCCGGGCCUUGCACACACCGCCCGUCA